RNAcentral lists this ribosomal RNA (468 nucleotides) under uncultured bacterium. Its description in RNAcentral is "partial 16S ribosomal RNA". It matches the Rfam family "Bacterial small subunit ribosomal RNA", at positions 28 to 507 of the family's 1533-position model. The record is from RNAcentral.
GACGAACGCUGGCGGCGUGCUUAACACAUGCAAGUCGAACGGAAAGGCCCUGCUUUUGUGGGGUGCUCGAGUGGCGAACGGGUGAGUAACACGUGAGUAACCUGCCCUUGACUUUGGGAUAACUUCAGGAAACUGGGGCUAAUACCGGAUAGGGGCCCCUGCUGCAUGGUGGGGGUUGAAAAGUUUCGGCGGUUGGGGAUGGACCCGCGGCUUAUCAGCUUGUUGGUGGGGUAGUGGCUUACCAAGGCUUUGACGGGUAGCCGGCCUGAGAGGGUGACCGGCCACAUUGGGACUGAGAUACGGCCCAGACUCCUACGGGAGGCAGCAGUGGGGAAUAUUGCACAAUGGGCGGAAGCCUGAUGCAGCAACGCCGCGUGCGGGAUGACGGCCUUCGGGUUGUAAACCGCUUUCGCCUGUGACGAAGCGUGAGUGACGGUAAUGGGUAAAGAAGCACCGGCUAACUACGUG